Molecule: ribosomal RNA, 540 nt
Filed under: Seminella peasei
Lineage: Eukaryota; Metazoa; Mollusca; Gastropoda; Neogastropoda; Columbellidae
Description: partial small subunit ribosomal RNA
Source: RNAcentral
GACCAAGAGAUUAAGUUAUGUAUUUAGGUAAAAAGACAGUUAAGUAGAUUACUUAAAGUUUGAUAAUUUUUUAUAAGAGGGUAAAAUUUGGAUUUAAAGAUAUAAUUUUAAACAUGCUUUUAAGCUGAAGCUGUGAUAAUUUUGAGGGAAACUGGGAUUAGAUACCCCAUUAUUCAUUAUUGUAAAUUAAUUAGAAUUUACCAGAGUACUAUGAAGACGAAUUUAAAACUCAAAGGGCUUGGCGGUGUUUUAGACCAAUUAGGGGAACCUGUCUCGUAAUCGACAAUCCACGAUAAACCUAGCCUUUUUUCGUAAACAGUUUGUAUACCGUCGUCGUCAGGUAACUUUUAAAAAUGUAGAAGUUGGCAUAAAUAAUUUAAAUAAAUUAAGACGUCAGAUCAAGGUGCAGCUAAUAUAAAGGAGAGGAUGGGUUACAAUUAUAAAAUAGUAAUAUGGAUAGUUUAAUGAAAGAAGCUUAAAGGAGGACUUAAAAGUAAUUAUAUAAUAUAUAAAUAACUUGAAUAAGGCUCUGAAACGUGC